Molecule: ribosomal RNA, 253 nt
Filed under: uncultured bacterium
Lineage: Bacteria
Description: partial 16S ribosomal RNA
Rfam family: Bacterial small subunit ribosomal RNA
Source: RNAcentral
GACGAGGGGUCCUAGCGUUGUUCGGAAUCACUGGGCGUAAAGCGUAUGUAGGCGGGCUUUUAAGUCGGGUGUGAAAUCCCCGGGCUCAACCUGGGAAUUGCAUUCGAUACUGGAUAGCUAGAGUUCGGCAGAGGGAAGUGGAAUUUCUGGUGUAGCGGUGAAAUGCGUAGAUAUCAGAAGGAACAUCAGUGGCGAAAGCGACUUCCUGGACCAGAACUGACAAUCAGGCACGAAAGCGUGGGGAGCAAACAGG